GCUUGACUGUAGCUUGUAAUUGGUUCGGCUUUUUGCGCAGCCUAGGUGGGAGGCAACGAUGAUUUUUUCCGGAAAAAUUUGAGCCGUUAGUGAGAGACCACUCUGAAAAGGCUAGAAUCCUAAUAAUGAUCCUUGAAUCAGGACAUUUGACAGUUGCAGGUGGCAGUUUUACUGGGCGGUAUUCUCCUAAAAAGUAACGGAGGGGUGCAAAGGUUCCCUCAAGCUGGACGGAAAUCAGCUUAAGAGUGUAAAGGCAAAAGGGAGCUUGACUGCAAGACCUACAAGUCGAGCAGGGCGAAAGCCAGCCUUAGUGAUCCGACGGUACCACGUGGAAGGGCCGUCGCUCAACGGAUAAAAGUUA
RNAcentral lists this ribosomal RNA (361 nucleotides) under uncultured alga. RNAcentral describes it as "bacterial LSU rRNA". It matches the Rfam family "Bacterial large subunit ribosomal RNA", at positions 2098 to 2465 of the family's 2925-position model. The record is from RNAcentral.